RNAcentral lists this ribosomal RNA (273 nucleotides) under uncultured Staphylococcus sp. RNAcentral's name for it is "partial 16S ribosomal RNA". It matches the Rfam family "Bacterial small subunit ribosomal RNA", at positions 89 to 356 of the family's 1533-position model. Lineage: Bacteria; Bacillati; Bacillota; Bacilli; Caryophanales; Staphylococcaceae. The record is from RNAcentral.
ACGUUAGCGGCGGACGGGUGAGUAACACGUGGGUGACCUACCUAUAAGACUGGGAUAACUUCGGGAAACCGGAGCUAAUACCGGAUAAUAUUUCGAACCGCAUGGUUCGAUAGUGAAAGAUGGUUUUGCUAUCACUUAUAGAUGGACCCGCGCCGUAUUAGCUAGUUGGUAAGGUAACGGCUUACCAAGGCGACGAUACGUAGCCGACCUGAGAGGGUGAUCGGCCACACUGGAACUGAGACACGGUCCAGACUCCUACGGGAGGCAGCAGCG